CCUACGGGAGGCAGCAGUGAGGAAUAUUGGUCAAUGGUCGGGAGACUGAACCAGCCAAGCCGCGUGAGGGAUGAAGGUACAGAGUAUCGUAAACCUCUUUUGUCAGGGAACAAAGGCGGGGACGUGUCCCCGGAUGAGUGUACCUGAAGAAAAAGCAUCGGCUAACUCCGUGCCAGCAACCGCGGUAAUACGGAGGAUGCGAGCGUUAUCCGGAUUCAUUGGGUUUAAAGGGUGCGCAGGCGGGCCUUUAAGCCGGCGGUGGAAUCGCGGGGGUCAAACCCGCCGAG
Molecule: ribosomal RNA, 287 nt
Filed under: uncultured bacterium
Lineage: Bacteria
Description: partial 16S ribosomal RNA
Rfam family: Bacterial small subunit ribosomal RNA
Source: RNAcentral